RNAcentral lists this ribosomal RNA (195 nucleotides) under uncultured bacterium. Its description in RNAcentral is "partial 16S ribosomal RNA". It matches the Rfam family "Bacterial small subunit ribosomal RNA", at positions 328 to 538 of the family's 1533-position model. The record is from RNAcentral.
ACGCUCGACACCUACGGAGGCAGCAGUUAGGAAUAUUGGGCAAUGGAGGAAACUCUGACCCAGCAACGCCGCGUGAAGGAAGAAGGUUUUCGGAUUGUAAACUUCUGAUCUAGGGGAAGAAGGAAGUGACGGUACCCUAGGAGAAAGCCACGGCUAACUACGUGCCAGCACGCCGGAGUACUNAGCGGCGNGNAG